Molecule: long non-coding RNA, 490 nt
Organism: Oncorhynchus masou masou (cherry salmon)
Lineage: Eukaryota; Metazoa; Chordata; Actinopteri; Salmoniformes; Salmonidae
Exons: 3
Source: RefSeq, a predicted model, not a curated record
CCUGAGUUGACCCCCACCGCCGUUAAGGCAGGGAAGCUCCUCCAGACCAGACCAAUGAGCUCAUGAACUACGACAACGUUGCCACCACAGUGUUCACCCCUCUGGAGUAUGGCUGUGUGGGCCUCUCAGGGGAGGAGGCUGAGAGCAGACAUCCAUCCAUCCAGGACUCCAUCGAGUGUGCCAGCUGCUAACACCUGCACCCAGAGAGCCCCAGCUCGAUGUAGAGUGAUGCGUAGCUCCUGUGUGUGAUUGACAGGUGAGCAGAGGGCCUGAUUGAGGUGUGUAUCAGGUGCUGACAGGCACUGUGUGAUCUAAAGCACCGCAGCAGGAGAGGUGCACCAUGGGUCCUGACAGCUGCCUGUGUGCAUGGCCUGGCCUACGACUUGUGUCGGCAUGCACGCUGGCUCAAUAUAAAACACAGCAUGAAACCAGGAUCUCCAAAUGUACCUUUUUUUUAAAGAAGCAAAGAGUUGUGAAAGCAUAGUAUUGU